AGUUGUUGCGGUUAAAAAGCUCGUAGUUGGAUUUCUGUUGAAGACCGGCGGUCCACCUUUUGGGUGAGUAUCUGCUUGGGCUUCGGCAUCUUCUCGGAAUACGUUGCUGCGCUUGAUUGCGUGGUUCGGAGUCCGGGACUUUUACUUUGAGGAAAUUAGAGUGUUCACGGCAGGCAUACGCCUUGAAUAUAUUAGCAUGGAAUAAUAAUAUAGGAUCUUGGUUCUAUUUUGUUGGUUUCUAGAGCUAAGAUAACGAUUAAUAGGGACAAUUGGGGGCAUUCGUAUUAACGCGUCAGAGGUGAAAUUCAUGGAUUGCGUUACGACGAACUACUGCGAAAGCAUUUGCCAAGGAUGUUUUCAUUGAUCAAGAACGAAAGUAAGGGGAUCGAAGAUGAUUAGAUACCGUCGUAGUCUUUACCAUAAACUAUGCCAACUAGAGAUGGGGCGUCGUACUACUAUUACUCGCUCCGCACCUUAUGAGAAAUCAAAGUCUUUGGGUUCCGGGGGGAGUAUGGUCGCAAGGCUGAAACUUAAAGGAAUUGACGGAAGGGCACCACCAGGAGUGGAGCCUGCGGCUUAAUUUGACUCAACACGGGGAAAACUCACCAGGUCCAGACAUAGUAAGGAUUGACAGAUUUAUAGCUCUUUCUUGAUUCUAUGG
This 661-nucleotide ribosomal RNA is filed under the name uncultured marine eukaryote. Its description in RNAcentral is "SSU rRNA". It matches the Rfam family "Eukaryotic small subunit ribosomal RNA", at positions 608 to 1273 of the family's 1831-position model. The record is from RNAcentral.